This 1073-nucleotide long non-coding RNA is filed under the name Rattus norvegicus (Norway rat). Its description in RNAcentral is "long non-coding RNA NONRATT013979". Lineage: Eukaryota; Metazoa; Chordata; Mammalia; Rodentia; Muridae. The record is from RNAcentral.
AAAUCUGAGGUUUUCUUUUAUCUUUGUAUCCAACCAUUAAUGGUAAUGAAAAUUAGUUAAAAUGAGUAUUUGGCAUCAAGAUUGGAUAUCAAAAUUGGAAUUUACUCAAUCACCGCAGUGAUGUAUGUGAUCCAUGACAUUCCAUUUGACAUUUCUUCUCAUGAUACAACAGUCUUUGUCAUUUUAAUGUAGAUCUGUCUAGAUAAACAUUUGCUGAGCCUCUUUCUCAAAACUUGGUGGUUAAAUAUCAACUGAGCCUUUCUGGUUAGUUUACCAAAUGAUUUUUUUAAUGAAUAUUUCCCUUUCUUAAGAAAACAGACCCCUAAAAAAGGGUACAAUUUCUCAAUCCUGGAGAAACUAAACCAGAUUGUAUACCCAGGUCACACAGUCAGUAGUGUUGAAGUUCCCUUGAUGGAAAAGUACAGCCACACAUACUUGUAAAAAGAAAACAAUAAAAAAAUGACUAGGACCUUUUGAUGCUAUACGGUUUAGGAAAAAUGUUCAAUAGUGGGAUGAUAAUGAAAAUAUUCAUUUCUUCUAAAUAGUGAAUGAAAUAAUUUAUGCUGAAUAUUAAUUUUGGGUCAUUUUCAUAAGAAAUUAAUGAUGUGAAUUUGUGGUGUUUCUUUCCCUUUUGUCACAAUUAAGAUCAUGCAGAAUUUUUUGCUGGGAAAAAAUCUUUAUGAAUAAUGUAAUGGUUUAUAUAAGCUUAGGAUUGACAUCAAAGACAAUAUUUAAUAAAUACAUGCCACAGGGCACAGCCCCAAAGCAAUUACUCUGCUAUUUUUGUAACAUACAAACCAGCUAUCUCUGUUUCCAAGCUACUAAAAAAAUAUGUUAGCAAAUUGAUCUAAUUUUGGUAUCCAUAUGGUGACUUAUUAAAAUCAAUGUUUGAGCAAGAACUGGCUAGAAUAUUUAACAUUCAUGAAGUGUGGAUCGUUCUACUAUUUAGGUAUUUUAGACUAUCCGGCUGUUGACUGAUACUGAAUAUGAUCUCCAAGUCUAGUCAAUCACUAAAUGCUUACUGAGUUCUUGCUACCUCCAAAACACAAAUAAAGGACAUGCAAUAUCUUCUG